UCCGAUAUGGUCUAGUGGUUAGGAUCACCCGCUCUCAUCCAGCAGAGUUAGCUUCGGCGCCGGGUAGGCCCGGGUUCGAUUCCCGGUAUCGGAA
RNAcentral lists this transfer RNA (94 nucleotides) under Trichodelitschia bisporula. It matches the Rfam family "tRNA". Rfam says of the family: Transfer RNA (tRNA) molecules are approximately 80 nucleotides in length. Their secondary structure includes four short double-helical elements and three loops (D, anti-codon, and T loops). Lineage: Eukaryota; Fungi; Ascomycota; Dothideomycetes; Phaeotrichales; Phaeotrichaceae. The record is from Rfam by way of RNAcentral.